UACGGAGGAUGCGAGCGUUAUCCGGAUUUAUUGGGUUUAAAGGGUGCGUAGGCGGGAUGCCAAGUCAGCGGUAAAAUGUCCGGGCUCAACCCGGGCCGGCCGUUGAAACUGGGGAUCUUGAGUGGGCGAGAAGUAUGCGGAAUGCGUGGUGUAGCGGUGAAAUGCUUAGAUAUCACGCAGAACUCCGAUUGCGAAGGCAGCAUACCGGCGCUCAACUGACGCUCAUGCACGAAAGCGUGGGUAUCGAACAGG
RNAcentral lists this ribosomal RNA (252 nucleotides) under uncultured Bacteroidales bacterium. Its description in RNAcentral is "partial 16S ribosomal RNA". It matches the Rfam family "Bacterial small subunit ribosomal RNA", at positions 524 to 776 of the family's 1533-position model. The record is from RNAcentral. Lineage: Bacteria; Pseudomonadati; Bacteroidota; Bacteroidia; Bacteroidales.